Molecule: ribosomal RNA, 482 nt
Filed under: Otostigmus astenus
Lineage: Eukaryota; Metazoa; Arthropoda; Chilopoda; Scolopendromorpha; Scolopendridae
Description: partial 16S ribosomal RNA
Rfam family: Bacterial large subunit ribosomal RNA
Source: RNAcentral
GUCUUUUUGUAUUUAAUAAUAAGUCUAGCCUGCCCAAUGUAUUAUGAAUGGCCGCGGUAUUUUGACCGUGCGAAGGUAGCAUAAUAAAUAGUCCAUUAAUUGUGGUCUGGAAUGAAUGGUUUUACGGGGAGCAGCUUUUUUUGUUUUAUUUAUGAAUUUUAAUUGUCGGUGAAAAUGCUGAUAUAUGGCAGGAGGACGAGAAGACCCUAUAGAGCUUUACAUUAAACUAUUAGAGGUGGAAUUUUUAUUAUAAUGUUUUGUUGGGGCGACAAUAAGUGAGAAGCAUUUAUUAAUAUGUCUAAAUAAUAGGAUUAUUUGACCCAUUAGGAGUGAUUUAAGACUAAGUUACCUUAGGGAUAACAGCGUAAUCUCAUUUUAGAGUUCUUAUCGAUAAUGAGGAUUGCGACCUCGAUGUUGGAUUAAAAUACCUAUAGGGCGUAGUAGUUUUAUAAGGUAGCCUGUUCGGCUAUUAAAAUUUUACA